UGAAAGAGAGAGACAUAAGCUAUUCGGCCAAGCCAUGGCUGAAUUUGGCCAUGGAAAUUUAGUAAGAAAAAAAUAUUUUGUUCUAGCUUUCCUAUCAAUUGAGAGGUCCUCUACGACAUGGAGUAGUUGUUGGAAUAAGAAAAUUAUCCGUCAUGGCAAAGUAUCAACCCUAGCCGAGUGAAGAAAUUGAAUGAAGAAGGUAUACUAGCGAGCUUGGACAAUAAGCAUAACUAAUAGGGCGUGGAACAGGUACACCCAGAUGAUGUGAAGUUAUUAUAGAGGACGUUCCAGCAGAGUUGACAAGCUCCAUUUGCUCCUGGAGUGCUGCUAGUCAGAGUUUGUAUGUUAUGCUUUUUUUCUGCACCGACGUUAGAGACUUUGCAAACAGAGUCGUGGGUAUAGUAUGUCAGUUGUGUAAGUGGAUUCAUCAGCCGAUAUGUCAUUCUGUAUUAUGUAUUAAAUUCUAUAUGGUCACAGAUUCUGUUUGAUUUGGAAAGCAUCGAAAAGAAUAUUUUGAGAGGUUAUUAUGUAUUUUAUCUUUAUUUGAUUUAAAAGUCUAAUAGGAUUUUGUGUGUCCCUAAGGUCUGUGGGUUGGGGUUCGCUCGGCUCCGGAUGUGGGGCCGGGUGCCCAUCACACCCUACUGGAAUUAGGGUGUGACACAUAGACACUCAUUAUCCGGAUUUAGCUUGCAAGUACUAGUGUGCAUUCGCGAUUGGAUUAGAUCAGAGCGACGCAACAAAAACUUACAAGCGGUGGAAGGCGAAGAGGAAGAGAUUGAAGAUUUGAUAGCAAGUGGAGCGGACCAAAUGAAAGACUUUGAAGAUAUCUCCAUGACCGAAUAUGGUAUGGGGGAAAUUAGCCAAAUGAAUGACAAUUGGUGAUUUUAUUAUUCUACUAUUUCUUUGCAACUCAUGUAUUAUUUGCAAGUUAAAAAACAAAACUACAACUUACAAAUAAAUGUUAUCCAAG
Long non-coding RNA from Lycium barbarum (goji berry), 970 nucleotides. RefSeq lists it as uncharacterized. NCBI's taxonomy places the organism in Eukaryota, Viridiplantae, Streptophyta, Magnoliopsida, Solanales, Solanaceae. The record is from RefSeq and is a predicted model, not a curated record. The transcript has 3 exons.